Molecule: long non-coding RNA, 1230 nt
Filed under: Podarcis muralis (Common wall lizard)
Lineage: Eukaryota; Metazoa; Chordata; Lepidosauria; Squamata; Lacertidae
Description: lncRNA (ENSPMRG00000015672.1)
Source: RNAcentral
CAAGUUAUUUGGGCUCUAGGAACUUUUAUCCUGGGAUUACAAGAACCAUUUUGAUAGAAAGGCCUAUGUUCUCUUAGUAGCUGAUCCUAAAUCUGGCUUUUAAAAGAUUUGUCCCAAGCACCACCAUUUGCUGCAGUUCUAUCAAUGAAGCAAGAGGCAAAACCACAAAAAGACUUAAGUCCCUUGAAUUCAUGGUGAGCUGAAGGAAAACAAUCAGAAUUAAACACAGCUUCUUUUUGCAUCCCAGCAAAACUAUCUGAAAUGCUGUUUCACCCACAAUUCUCUGGCCCGUAGGAAUAUGAGUUCCAGUGAUGCAGAUACUACAUUUGGGUGUCCCCAUCUUUUGAAAGAGGGUGAAGAGAGACUGUCUUUUCUGCAAGACCUUUUAUUUUUCUCAGUGUUUUUAAACCCCUGUGACCUUCCCCACUGUUAUUUUCUCUGCCUCCGUCGUUUUAUGUACUGUUCAUUUUAAUUGGGUUAAUUAUUUGAUUGACUCUAGUGUGGGGUUGUUGUUUUUUGGCUUUUAAAUUUUAGCUCCCCGGGGAACAUGGUGUGCUGAAGGGUGGGAUGGGGGGAUAUAAAUAACAUGAAACAGAAUAUCGGAAUAAGGGACAAAAUUUGAGAAGAAAAUCCUAUUCUAACAGGUAUGGCUAGAAGUAGAAACCGAGGAGUGGGAGAGAGGGCGCCCCAGAGGGAGGGCUCCAAGGAUGAAGUCCUAUUAUAUAUCCAAUUACUUGGGAGUAUGUCCCACUGAAGUGAAUGGGGCUCACUUCUAAGAAGACAUAUGCUAGACCUGCACCACAACAGCUCGGAAGUGUCAAUGUGCGAACCGCACAGGAUAAGAAUUCACCCUCAUCAUCAUCAUCUCCAAGGCCACCCGCCGUAUCCUAGCAACCGCUUGCCCGGCCCCCCCUGAGGCGCCCCCGCCGAGCCCACUUUCGCCCUCGAGGAGGAGAUCGAGAGCAGCGAGCGAGCGAAGCCGGGAGGGGCUCCUCGGGAGUUCUCCGAAGGGCCAAGGCCAGCAGGUGAAGAGAGGGGCGGGGCUUGAGCAGCUCGCUCGCGCUCUCUCUCGCGGCGGACAGGUGCGCCGCGGCGCAUGCGCCGCGAGAGUGCUUUCCCCGCUGACAGCAGGCCGAGGCCGCUGUCCUCGUGGAACAACGGAAGAAGCGGCGUCUCGCCUUCCCCCGCCCCCGCGCCCCCCACGCCCUCCUCUCAGGACAAAAUUGGGAG